This 588-nucleotide ribosomal RNA is filed under the name Triticum aestivum (bread wheat). RNAcentral's name for it is "partial small subunit ribosomal RNA". Lineage: Eukaryota; Viridiplantae; Streptophyta; Magnoliopsida; Poales; Poaceae. The record is from RNAcentral.
GUGAGGUUCCGCCCGGUUGGCCCGAAGCUUUUUGUUGUGCAGACAUCAUGUUUGGGAGAUUGGGAACGCAUGAUGUAUCAAGGGCCCUGGCUUUUCAGGAACUUGCUUGUGUUGAUGGUCCCAUAUGAUGGAUUUACGAAGGUAGAGGAGGUGCCCAUGGUGUUCGUCCCAAUUUGGCUACAGAUUCACAAGAUACCAGAGGGCUUCUGCAGGAAGAACAUCGUGGAAAAUCUGCUGAAAAACUCUGGUGAGAUCUUGGAGAUGAGAUUAAACGGAAAUACCCGUGGUGAUUACAUUAGGGUUAGGGUUCGGCAUGACGUUCGUCGGCCCCUCACCAAGUAUGUCAGCAUUGUAAGGGGGAAAGAGUGCCAAGUCUAUUUGGUGCGUUAUGAGAAAUUGGCGCACUUCUGUAGUGUAUGUGGGCUCAUUGGUCAUGACUACAAAGAGUGCGGAUCUGGUGUGCAUGAGGAGAAGGACAAGAAGUAUAGUUCAUGGCUCUAUAUGGAUGGGCUGAAUAAACCCCCAUCCAAUGACAGUUUUGGCCGGGGCAGGAGUCAGAAACAACCUACACCUCAAUCUCAACAGUAG